Molecule: ribosomal RNA, 468 nt
Filed under: uncultured bacterium
Lineage: Bacteria
Description: partial 16S ribosomal RNA
Rfam family: Bacterial small subunit ribosomal RNA
Source: RNAcentral
GACGAACGCUGGCGGCGUGCUUAACACAUGCAAGUCGAACGGAAAGGCCCUGCUUUUGUGGGGUGCUCGAGUGGCGAACGGGUGAGUAACACGUGAGUAACCUGCCCUUGACUUUGGGAUAACUUCAGGAAACUGGGGCUAAUACCGGAUAGGAGCUCCUGCUGCAUGGUGGGGGUUGGAAAGUUUCGGCGGUUGGGGAUGGACUCGCGGCUUAUCAGCUUGUUGGUGGGGUAGUGGCUUACCAAGGCUUUGACGGGUAGCCGGCCUGAGAGGGUGACCGGCCACAUUGGGACUGGGAUACGGCCCAGCCUCCUACGGGAGGCAGCAGUGGGGAAUAUUGCACAAUGGGCGGAAGCCUGAUGCAGCAACGCCGCGUGCGGGAUGACGGCCUUCGGGUUGUAAACCGCUUUCGCCUGUGACGAAGCGUGAGUGACGGUAAUGGGUAAAGAAGCACCGGCUAACUACGUG